CAUAGCGACUAUCGUGGCAUAUCAAUAAGCGGAGGAAAAGAAACUAACAAGGAUUCCCUAGUAACGGCGAGUGGAGCGGGAAGAGCUCAAAUUUGGAAUCUUCAAGGUUCUGACCUUGACGAAUUGUAGUUUAUAGAAGUGUUUUCUGUUAGUGGAGUGGCAAAAGUUCUUUGGAAUAGGACAUCAUAGAGGGUGAGAAUCCCGUAUUUGGUCAUUCCUCCUAGCGUUGUGAUACACUUCAACGAGUCGGAUUGUUUGGGAAUGCAGUCCAAAAUGGGUGGUAAAUUUCAUCUAAAGCUAAAUAUUGGCGAGAGACCGAUAGCGAACAAGUACCGUGAGGGAAAGAUGAAAAGAACUUUGAAAAGAGAGUUAAACAGUACGUGAAAUUGUCAAAAGGGAAGCGUUUGACACCAGUGUUGUUUAGUUGAAAAUCAAUUCAAUAGUUUUUGAUUUUAAGUAGUAUUGACUUCAUCAGCUUGCUGCUUUCUUUUCAGGAAUUAUUGAAUGCACUUUUCAGUUAACAAGUCAACAUCAAUUUCUUUUGUUGUAAAAGGGUAAGAGGAAGGUGGCUUACGCUUCGGCGUAAGUGUUUAUAGCCUUUUACCUCUGCAAUCGGAGAGAUUGAGGACAGCAGCGUAGACUCUUCGGGGUUAGAUACACUUGUGCUAAGCUAUAGCCUUGUAUAGACAACUUGUUGACUAUGCUCAGUCAUGUAGCUUACUCGCUUGUGCUAUUUUACCUACGCUUAGGAUGUUGACGAGACUGUCGAUCUC
RNAcentral lists this ribosomal RNA (773 nucleotides) under uncultured Neocallimastigales. RNAcentral's name for it is "partial large subunit ribosomal RNA". It matches the Rfam family "Eukaryotic large subunit ribosomal RNA", at positions 22 to 646 of the family's 3401-position model. The record is from RNAcentral. Lineage: Eukaryota; Fungi; Neocallimastigomycota; Neocallimastigomycetes; Neocallimastigales.